UAGCACAGAGAGCUUGCUCUCGGGUGACGAGCGGCGGACGGGUGAGUAAUGUCUGGGAAACUGCCUGAUGGAGGGGGAUAACUACUGGAAACGGUAGCUAAUACCGCAUAAUGUCGCAAGACCAAAGUGGGGGACCUUCGGGCCUCAUGCCAUCAGAUGUGCCCAGAUGGGAUUAGCUAGUAGGUGGGGUAACGGCUCACCUAGGCGACGAUCCCUAGCUGGUCUGAGAGGAUGACCAGCCACACUGGAACUGAGACACGGUCCAGACUCCUACGGGAGGCAGCAGUGGGGAAUAUUGCACAAUGGGCGCAAGCCUGAUGCAGCCAUGCCGCGUGUGUGAAGAAGGCCUUCGGGUUGUAAAGCACUUUCAGCGGGGAGGAAGGCG
This 385-nucleotide ribosomal RNA is filed under the name Klebsiella pneumoniae. RNAcentral's name for it is "bacterial SSU rRNA". It matches the Rfam family "Bacterial small subunit ribosomal RNA", at positions 68 to 453 of the family's 1533-position model. The record is from RNAcentral. Lineage: Bacteria; Pseudomonadati; Pseudomonadota; Gammaproteobacteria; Enterobacterales; Enterobacteriaceae.